RNAcentral lists this ribosomal RNA (432 nucleotides) under uncultured bacterium. RNAcentral describes it as "partial 16S ribosomal RNA". It matches the Rfam family "Bacterial small subunit ribosomal RNA", at positions 338 to 795 of the family's 1533-position model. The record is from RNAcentral.
CCUACGGGGGGCAGCAGUGGGGAAUAUUGCGCAAUGGGCGAAAGCCUGACGCAGCGACGCCGCGUGAGGGAUGACGGCCUUCGGGUUGUAAACCUCUUUCAGCAGGGAAGCGGUACCUGCAGAAGAAGCACCGGCUAACUACGUGCCAGCAGCCGCGGUAAUACGUAGGGUGCAAGCGUUGUCCGGAAUUAUUGGGCGUAAAGAGCUCGUAGGCGGUUUGUCGCGUCUGCUGUGAAAAUUCGAGGCUCAACCUCGGACCUGCAGUGGGUACGGGCAGACUAGAGUGCGGUAGGGGAGACUGGAAUUCCUGGUGUAGCGGUGAAAUGCGCAGAUAUCAGGAGGAACACCGGUGGCGAAGGCGGGUCUCUGGGCCGUACUGACGCUGAGGAGCGAAAGCAUGGGGAGCGAACAGGAUUAGAUACCCUUGUAGUC